UUGAACGCUGGCGGCAUGCCUUACACAUGCAAGUCGAACGGUAACGCGGGGCAACCUGGCGACGAGUGGCGAACGGGUGAGUAACACAUCGGAACGUGCCCAGUAGUGGGGGAUAGCCCGGCGAAAGCCGGAUUAAUACCGCAUACGACCUAAGGGUGAAAGCAGGGGACCGCAAGGCCUUGCGCUAUUGGAGCGGCCGAUGUCAGAUUAGGUAGUUGGUGGGGUAAAAGCCUACCAAGCCGACGAUCUGUAGCUGGUCUGAGAGGACGACCAGCCACACUGGGACUGAGACACGGCCCAGACUCCUACGGGAGGCAGCAGUGGGGAAUUUUGGACAAUUGGCGCAAGCCUGAUCCAGCCAUGCCGCGUGCGGGAAGAAGGCCUUCGGGUUGUAAACCGCUUUUGUCAGGGAAGAAACGGUCUGGGUUAAUACCCUGGGCUAAUGACGGUACCUGAAGA
RNAcentral lists this ribosomal RNA (459 nucleotides) under uncultured bacterium. RNAcentral's name for it is "bacterial SSU rRNA". It matches the Rfam family "Bacterial small subunit ribosomal RNA", at positions 29 to 485 of the family's 1533-position model. The record is from RNAcentral.